Molecule: ribosomal RNA, 470 nt
Filed under: uncultured bacterium
Lineage: Bacteria
Description: bacterial SSU rRNA
Rfam family: Bacterial small subunit ribosomal RNA
Source: RNAcentral
AUUGAACGCUGGCGGCAUGCCUUACACAUGCAAGUCGAACGGUAACGGGCCUUCGGGUGCCGACGAGUGGCGAACGGGUGAGUAAUGCAUCGGAACGUACCUUUCAGUGGGGGGAUAACGUAGCGAAAGUUACGCUAAUACCGCAUAUUCUGUGAGCAGGAAAGCAGGGGAUCGCAAGACCUUGCGCUGAUUGAGCGGCCGAUGUCAGAUUAGCUAGUUGGUGAGGUAAAGGCUCACCAAGGCGACGAUCUGUAGCGGGUCUGAGAGGAUGAUCCGCCACACUGGAACUGAGACACGGUCCAGACUCCUACGGGAGGCAGCAGUGGGGAAUUUUGGACAAUGGGGGCAACCCUGAUCCAGCCAUGCCGCGUGAGUGAAGAAGGCCUUCGGGUUGUAAACCGUACUUCUAGCAGGAAGAAGCGGAAAGUAGACGGUAACCGUGACAGAAGAAGCACCGGCUAACUACGUAG